CAGAGUUGAGGUUCUAGGCGAAACUCACUUUCUAUAGGCCACAUCAGUUAACAUCUCCAAUGUUCUCCAUUUCUAGUAAUGUAUGUGGUCGUCCAUGUGAAGCGAAGGAGAGUGCAAUCAUCCGUGCUCUCACUUAUUUUGAUGAAGUUCUGGGCCGGACGAUUGGAGACAUUAACUAUAUUCCAUAUCUAAGGAGGUGAGCUAGAGUAUGAUGAAAUAUGUAACAUGCAUGGUUGUACAUGCAUUUUAACUUGUUCUCUAUAGGACCUUUAAUUAUUGAUGUAAUAACUUGCACUAUUAUCAGAACUGCUUAUAUUAUAUUGUGGCUUGGAUGUACC
This 338-nucleotide long non-coding RNA is filed under the name Setaria viridis. RNAcentral describes it as "long non-coding RNA (SVIR_LNC007668)". Lineage: Eukaryota; Viridiplantae; Streptophyta; Magnoliopsida; Poales; Poaceae. The record is from RNAcentral.